CCUACGGGAGGCAGCAGUGAGGAAUAUUGGUCAAUGGUCGGGAGACUGAACCAGCCAAGCCGCGUGAGGGAGGAAGGUACAGAGUAUUGUAAACCUCUUUUGUCAGGGAACAAAGGCGGGGACGUGUCCCCGGAUGAGUGUACCUGAAGAAAAAGCAUCGGCUAAUUCCGUGCCAGCAGCCGCGGUAAUACGGAGGAUGCGAGCGUUAUCCGGAUUUAUUGGGUUUAAAGGGUGCGAAGGCGGUCUGUUAAGUCAGCGGUCAAAGCCCGGGGCUCAACCCCGGCCCGCCGUUGAAACUGGCAGUCUCGAGUUGGAGAGAGGUAUGCGGAAUGCGCGGUGUAGCGGUGAAAUGCAUAGAUAUCGCGCAGAACUCCGAUUGCGAAGGCAGCAUGCCGGCUCCACACUGACGCUGAGGCACGAAAGCGUGGGUAUCGAACAGGAUUAGAUACCCGAGUAGUC
Molecule: ribosomal RNA, 459 nt
Filed under: uncultured bacterium
Lineage: Bacteria
Description: partial 16S ribosomal RNA
Rfam family: Bacterial small subunit ribosomal RNA
Source: RNAcentral